This is a long non-coding RNA of Harmonia axyridis, 331 nucleotides long. RefSeq lists it as uncharacterized. The record is from RefSeq and is a predicted model, not a curated record. NCBI's taxonomy places the organism in Eukaryota, Metazoa, Arthropoda, Insecta, Coleoptera, Coccinellidae. The transcript has 3 exons.
UGGUUAUAUGGUUUUCUGUCAGAAAAUUACAAAGGAAACUGCUGAGAGCUUAGAAAGUUAUCCUGAAUGUACUUUUAACGGUUAUAAAUCAAUAACAUCCUUUAUUUGCCCUAUAUAUAUAUUUAAAUAAGUAAAAUGUUCAGAGGAUUUUUUACAUUCGUUAUAGGCCUAUAUGCCGGAAUAUACUUAGCUCAGAAUUAUGAUGUACCAAAGGUAGAUGACCCUCAAAAUUUAUUUAAUAAGGUUAAAGAAUUCGCUGAUAAACAUAGGAAAGAUUAAAACAAAUUUAUAGAUAAUGAAACAUUUAAUUUAAUAAAUAUUAUAUAUAUUA